RNAcentral lists this ribosomal RNA (468 nucleotides) under uncultured bacterium. RNAcentral describes it as "partial 16S ribosomal RNA". It matches the Rfam family "Bacterial small subunit ribosomal RNA", at positions 28 to 507 of the family's 1533-position model. The record is from RNAcentral.
GACGAACGCCGGCGGCGUGCUUAACACAUGCAAGUCGAACGGAAAGGCCCAAGCUUGCUUGGGUACUCGAGUGGCGAACGGGUGAGUAACACGUGGGUGACCUGCCCUGCACUUUGGGAUAAGUUCGGGAAACUGGGUCUAAUACCGGAUAGGACGUCGGUCUGGAUGCCAUUGUGGAAAGAUUUUUGGGUGUGGGAUGAGCACGCGGCCUAUCUGCUUGUUGGUGGGGGAAUGGCGUAUCCAGGCGUCGACGGGUAGCCGGCCUGAGAGGGUGUACGGCGACAUUGUGGCUGAGAUACGGCGCAGACUCCUACGGGGGGGAGCGGUGGGGGGUAUUGCGCAAUAGGGGCAAGCGUGAGAUGGAGAAGCGGCGUGGGGGAUGUCGGCGUUCGGGUUGUAUACACCUUUCGCGAGGGUGGAAGCGUUUUUGUGACGGUACCUGGUGAAGAAGCACCGGCUAACUACGUG